Molecule: long non-coding RNA, 2451 nt
Organism: Drosophila sechellia
Lineage: Eukaryota; Metazoa; Arthropoda; Insecta; Diptera; Drosophilidae
Exons: 2
Source: RefSeq, a predicted model, not a curated record
CUUUCGUCGUGAGCGGUUCGUUCGCUGUUUCGCGCGCGUCUGCGUCUGAAUAUUUUUGAAAAACGGUUGCGUUCAAGUGCAACUGCAUUUGUGCCAAAUCGUUGAGAAUACUGGAAUCGAAUUCGAAAAUUUGCUGAUUCAAAUCGUCGAAGAACGAAAUCAUUUUUUUUGCCCUGCGCGAGUGCUCAAGAAUUCAUAUUAUUUUUUGUGGCAAGCAACAAGUGCGAACCAAAGAAACAGCCCGAAACGUGCUGCAAAUUAUUAAUGUUUUUAUGCGGUUUUCGUCGCAACAACACAGCUGUCAAUACAUCCAACAAAAAAGCAGCAAAACAAAAGUGCAGUGACUCGAAAAAAAGAAGCGAUCGCCUCUAGAAAAAGGAGCGAAUCAAAUACAAUAAAAGAAAGGAGAAUAAAAGAAAAGAGAACAGAACCAAACCGAACAGAACAGAAAAGAAACAAGAACAACUCAUCAACGUCGGCUCAAAAAGGUGAGUCAAGGGCGCGAUGGGAAACUACCUUAAUCUCUGUGGCUAUUAAAUGGAAUUAGCUGGCCGACAAAGUGGCCAUUUUAUACUUUGUCUGUAUUUGUUUACUAAAUUAAAUCCUUUUUAAAUCUGUUUGGCUAUUAGCUGAAAGCAUAACAUAUCAAUUCGAUGAGCAAGUAAUUAAUUUUAUUGUCGUCAUUUUUUUUUGCAUUUGACGACUUUCCCCUUAACGCCUAACGACGCCGGCAGAUGGCGCCACACAGCUAAUCCGACUGCGUUGAGUAAACACCACGGUUAUCUUAAUUAAGCCGAACAGCAACGUGUGUCAACAGUUGUCCGUAGCUCUUGAGUCCAUCUCUAUCUCUAUCUCUCCCUUUCCCCUUUCUCUUUCGCUAUCUUCCACUUUUCACUUGUUGCAGCCAAGCCCACGACAACUGGGUAGCUGCAGUGGAACCUAGCUAACUGGAACUCUUGGAAAAGUGAUAUAUCUGAGUGUGCUUGCAAAUGAACUUGGCAGUAUUCCCAAUUAUUAUUAACUCAAUUGUUAUCACAUUACAAUGAAAUUAUCAUCAUGUAACUUAUCAAUUCAAAGCCAAAUGUUUUUAUAGCUGUUUUUAUCUUGCUUUUAAAGUUUGUAAAACUGUCUUAAAACUUUUUUAUUUAACAUUUAUUUACCCUAGUGUUUCAUCCUAGUGAACGUUGUCUGUAUUUCAGCAGUAAAUGUAGUUAUCACAGCGACCGCAUUACGCACCUGCUUACAUUCUUCUUUCCCGUUAUUCAACCCAAUAUCCGUAACUCCCCUGCAUUUUUGACCCAACGCAUUGGCCACGUUUCGUUGUCGUUUGGCACGUCCAAAUGUUUGCGCAUUUGAAAACUGAUAUUUCCCCCGAACUUGCCUGACCUGCCCCCCCUUUGAAGCCCCUCUCUCCACCUUCCUCGUAGCCAACGCCUCUGUGACACACAUUAAAGACCUUCUUCGUGGGUCUGAAGACCCCCAGCCUUUGGUAUUUUUGAUACGCAUUUGCAUGGACUUGGAUAAGUUUUAGUUAACUACCCAAAGUCAUGUGUGUUGGUUUUCGCGGCAGGGGACAUGGGGUUUCGGGUUCGCUUUGGGUUUGGGCUUGGGUUCGGUUUUAUAGAAUAGAACACACCCAAAAAAAAAAAAAACAAUAUACGCGGGUUUUUUCUGGGUUUUCCUUUACAACAUUGAGACAACAUUGUCAUGGUCUAUUUGGCUUUUGGGUUUUGUUUUUCUAUUCUUUUUUUUUCGCCCAACCUGGUGUAUUCCAAACACUGAAAAUAAAAUAUACUACUCAGGAAAUCUAAUCUAAGACAGUGCGUAAAAACGAAAAAAAUGGUCUUGAUGUGGCAAAAUAAAUGUACAUAUGUAUAUGUAUAUAUAAAGAAUUUAAAAAGCGGUUAGCCUGCAUGUUAAACGAGAUUCCUUCGGUUUUACUUGUUUUGAAAUGAACUGAAUUCAACUGAAUUCCAGUCACGUGCCUAGAAUAAUCGCAUUCUACAUGAGGCUCUCAUAAUUUUCUCUCAGUACAUAAUUGAGCUCGUGACCCGAGCUUCAGUUUGCCAUGGAAUCUGCUCCCCUUCUACCGAAAAACUUUGAAUAUUCCUCCAACUCCGUUCUCCAUUCAAACAUUGUUCCAUGUGUGCCAUUCUCAUUAAUUUGAGAUGUUUCACUUCCCCAACGUUUGUCAUUUCAGUUCGCUGAAGUUCUAAAGAACAUUCCUUCAGCGUUUUUGUACAUUUAAUUCUUUUUUUUGGUUGUGGGUGCGUUAGGCGCAAUGUUUUAAUUGUUUGUCGCGAGCCACGCACUCGGUAAAAAUCCACGGGGGAACCGAAACUGGCGGGAAAUUCAAUUACGAGCCACGCCUGAAAAGCGGGAAAAGGCGACCCAACUAAGCUGGGUCUUACGGGUUUCCCAACAAAAAAAAAAAAAAAAAACACAAAAAAA